GAGGGUACGGCUCAGUGGUAGAGUGUGUGCUUAGCAGGCAUGAGGUCCUGGUUUCAAUCCCCAGUGCCUCCA
RNAcentral lists this transfer RNA (72 nucleotides) under Camelus ferus (Wild Bactrian camel). It matches the Rfam family "tRNA". Rfam says of the family: Transfer RNA (tRNA) molecules are approximately 80 nucleotides in length. Their secondary structure includes four short double-helical elements and three loops (D, anti-codon, and T loops). The record is from Rfam by way of RNAcentral. Lineage: Eukaryota; Metazoa; Chordata; Mammalia; Artiodactyla; Camelidae.